GACGAACGCUGGCGGCGUGCUUAACACAUGCAAGUCGAACGGAAAGGCCCUGCUUUUGUGGGGUGCUCGCGUGGCGAACGGGUGUGUAACACGUGAGUAACCUGCCCUUGACGUUGGGAUAACUUCAGGAAACUGGGGCUAAUACCGGCUAGGAGCUCCUGCUGCAUGGGGGGGGUUGGAAAGUUUCGGCGGUUGGGGAUGGACUCGCGGCUUAUCAGCUUGUGGGUGGGGUAGUGGCUUACCAAGGCUUUGACGGGUAGCCGGCCUGAGAGGGUGACCGGCGACAUGGGGACUGAGAGACGGCCCAGACUCCUACGGGAGGCAGCAGGGGGGAAUAUUGCACAGUGGGCGGAAGCCUGAUGCAGCAACGCCGCGUGCGGGAUGACGGCCUUCGGGGUGUAAACCGCUGUCGCCUGUGACGAAGCGGGAGUGACGGUAAUGGGUAAAGAAGCACCGGCUAACUACGUG
RNAcentral lists this ribosomal RNA (468 nucleotides) under uncultured bacterium. Its description in RNAcentral is "partial 16S ribosomal RNA". It matches the Rfam family "Bacterial small subunit ribosomal RNA", at positions 28 to 507 of the family's 1533-position model. The record is from RNAcentral.